This 1188-nucleotide ribosomal RNA is filed under the name SAR86 cluster bacterium BACL1 MAG-120823-bin87. RNAcentral describes it as "bacterial SSU rRNA". It matches the Rfam family "Bacterial small subunit ribosomal RNA", at positions 356 to 1533 of the family's 1533-position model. Lineage: Bacteria; Pseudomonadati; Pseudomonadota; Gammaproteobacteria. The record is from RNAcentral.
GGGGAAUAUUGGACAAUGGGCGCAAGCCUGAUCCAGCCAUACCGCGUGUGUGAAGAAGGCCUUAGGGUUGUAAAGCACUUUAAGUUGGGAAGAAAGGUUAUUGGCUAAUACCCAAUAACUGUGACAUUACCAUCAGAAUAAGGACCGGCUAAUUCCGUGCCAGCAGCCGCGGUAAUACGGAAGGUCCAAGCGUUAAUCGGAAUUACUGGGCGUAAAGCGCGCGUAGGUGGUUUAUUAAGUUGGAUGUGAAAUCCCCGGGCUCAACCUGGGAACUGCAUUCAAAACUGGUUCACUAGAGUACGAUAGAGGGAGGUAGAAUUCACAGUGUAGCGGUGGAAUGCGUAGAUAUUGUGAAGAAUACCAAUGGCGAAGGCAGCCUCCUGGAUCUGUACUGACACUGAGGUGCGAAAGCGUGGGUAGCGAACAGGAUUAGAUACCCUGGUAGUCCACGCCGUAAACGAUGUCAACUAGCUGUUGGAAAGCACUGCUUUUCAGUGGCGCAGCUAACGUAGUAAGUUGACCGCCUGGGGAGUACGGCCGCAAGGUUAAAACUCAAAUGAAUUGACGGGGACCCGCACAAGCGGUGGAGCAUGUGGUUUAAUUCGAUGCAACGCGAAAAACCUUACCUAUGCUUGACAUACUUGGAAUACUUUGUAAUGAAGUAGUGCCUUCGGGAGCCAAGAUACAGGUGCUGCAUGGCUGUCGUCAGCUCGUGUCGUGAGAUGUUCCGUUAAGUCGGAUAACGAGCGCAACCCUUACCCUUAUUUGCCAGCGAUUCGGUCGGGAACUAUAAGGGGACUGCCGGUGAUAAACCGGAGGAAGGUGAGGACGACGUCAAGUCAUCAUGGCCCUUACGCAUAGGGCUACACACGUGCUACAAUGGAGAAUACAGACGGACGCUAAGCCGCGAGGUGGUGCCAAUCCUAGAAAAUUCUUCGUAGUCCGGAUUGGAGUCUGCAACUCGACUCCAUGAAGUCGGAAUCGCUAGUAAUCGCGAAUCAGCAUGUCGCGGUGAAUACGUUCUCGGGUCUUGUACACACCGCCCGUCAUACCAUGGAAGUGGAUUGCACCAGAAGUAGAUAGUCUAACCUUAGGGAGGGCGUUUACCACGGUGUGGUUCAUGACUGGGGUAAAGUCGUAACAAGGUAGCCGUAGGGGAACCUGUGGCUGGAUCACCUCCUUAACGAA